Non-coding RNA from Mycena leptocephala, 87 nucleotides. The record is from the annotation of a GenBank genome assembly. Lineage: Eukaryota; Fungi; Basidiomycota; Agaricomycetes; Agaricales; Mycenaceae.
AGCCCAAUAGCACAGUUGGUUAGUGCACCUGAUUUGUAAGUCCUUAUCUUUAAACAGGAGACCUUCGUUCAAUUCGGGGUUGGGUCA